GUGGGGAAUAUUGGACAAUGGGCGAAAGCCUGAUCCAGCCAUGCCGCGUGUGUGAAGAAGGUCUUCGGAUUGUAAAGCACUUUAAGUUGGGAGGAAGGGCAUUAACCUAAUACGUUAGUGUUUUGACGUUACCGACAGAAUAAGCACCGGCUGACUUCGUGCCAGCAGCCGCGGUAAUACGAAGGGUGCAAGCGUUAAUCGGAAUUACUGGGCGUAAAGCGCGCGUAGGUGGUUUUGUAAGUUGGAGGUGAAAUCCCCGGGCUCAACCUGGGAACUGCCUCCAAAACUGCAUGACUAGAGUACGGUAGAGGGUAGUGGAAUUUCCUGUGUAGCGGUGAAAUGCGUAGAUAUAGGAAGGAACACCAGUGGCGAAGGCGACUACCUGGACUGAUACUGACACUGAGGUGCGAAAGCGUGGGGAGCAAACAGGAUUAGAUACCCGAGUAGUCC
Molecule: ribosomal RNA, 450 nt
Filed under: uncultured bacterium
Lineage: Bacteria
Description: partial 16S ribosomal RNA
Rfam family: Bacterial small subunit ribosomal RNA
Source: RNAcentral